RNAcentral lists this unclassified non-coding RNA (906 nucleotides) under Athalia rosae (coleseed sawfly). Its description in RNAcentral is "misc RNA ENSAEAG00005008714.1". The record is from RNAcentral. Lineage: Eukaryota; Metazoa; Arthropoda; Insecta; Hymenoptera; Athaliidae.
UCAUUGUUUCAAUUUCGCGCCACAUGCCCUUUCAACUCAACAACACCAACGCGAACAGGCAGCCCCAGCAUCAGCUCUACACUCCACUGGCAACUGAACCGAAGUUUACGGACCUACGGGGUGACGAGAAGGAAAAUAAUAUUGAUAAAGUAGAAUAGUAAACAUGAAUUAACGCGGAGCAAUUUAAACCACCCUUCUCAAUGGUAUUUCUUUUCACUAUGUGCGCAGGAGGAACAUUGGCAAGGCACGUCGAAUUUAAUACGUUCUAGAAACUCUGCCUAUGCGAAAGGAAUCUCUGAACUUUAUCCCGGAGCGUCUGUCGAGGAACAAAGACGAUAGAAUUGGCGUUGCAAAUUGCGCUAUUCGUGAGCCAGAGACCUUUACAGUUUCCCCUACCAUGUUGCCCGUCCAUCUCAUCUUCUCAAAGUUCUGAACUACUGAGAGGGAGGAUACGAACGCACCCCAAUUUUGCGAUACGGAUACUGCAUUUCUGUAUAAUAUCGAAUCUUCAAACGCGAAAACGUAUCAUAUCUACUCUUCGCAUGCCUCUGGAUUCUACGUUCUGCAUUUUCAACGCACUAAAUCCACGCAAAAUAUUGUGGUUUCUUCGUUUCAAUCAAGAAAGAAAAAAACAACACAAAAUCAAUAGGAUCUUCAUCGAUCGCAUUCGAAUAUUUAAUUCAAACACAUACUUAGUUUAUUGACUGACUUAUGUCUGAAGUGAAGCACUUUGAAAGGAGACGAAUGAGAAGAUAAAAAACGAAGCAGAAACGAAAAAAUGAAAAAGAAAAAGGAACAAAUCGAAGAUGUCGGUAAGGAGAAUUUUUACGCCACGUCUGUUUGAAAUGGAGAAAUGAAUUGUAAUUUCUGAAAUUAUUAUCAAUGAAAUUUCGCAUGUUCUUAUAG